CUCUAGGACACAAGAGAGAAAGAGAGCAACUGGAUAUUUCUCUGGACAAACCCGUUACCAACACUCAAUUGCCGGCAGAAAUAAUCAGGACAUAUGCAAAGACAGUGUCCACUGAGACCUGUUGCAACCCGAGGAAGACUUCCACCUGCCCGAGCACCACGACCUCAUUUGCAGUGAAGAACGGUACUCCUCUUCUCUGGAAACUAAAAGAGCAAUGGAACCUGUCGGAAUCAAGGUAGAUGAGUGCGGUCAGAUUUCUGCAAAGAUGGCUCAUCUUACUAUGAAGAAGGUCGAAGAUACACCGGUUUCGCAGUCACCACAGAAACAGAGGUACUGUUGGCCAGAUCUUUGCCUGCACCUUUAGGUACACAAGGAGCAGAAAUAGUUACUCUAACUGAAGCUGCUAAAUAUGCGAUUGGAGUAAGGUUUAACAUUUAUACAGACUCUAAAUAUGCCUUUGGUGUAUGUGAUGCUACGGGGACUUUAUGGAAAGAAAGGGUUUUUCUGACUUCAGCGGGAAAAACUGUUGCCCAUGGACAACAGAUCAAAGACCUCUUAGAGGCAAUCCAAUUGCCCUCUGAAAUAUCUGUGAGCUAUAAAGGCACAUACACAGAGACAAGACAUGAUCGCAAAGGGAAAUUCUCUAGCUGA
Harpia harpyja (harpy eagle) is the source of this 651-nucleotide long non-coding RNA. RefSeq lists it as uncharacterized. The record is from RefSeq and is a predicted model, not a curated record. The transcript has 3 exons. NCBI's taxonomy places the organism in Eukaryota, Metazoa, Chordata, Aves, Accipitriformes, Accipitridae.